Long non-coding RNA from Choloepus didactylus (southern two-toed sloth), 416 nucleotides. RefSeq lists it as uncharacterized. NCBI's taxonomy places the organism in Eukaryota, Metazoa, Chordata, Mammalia, Pilosa, Megalonychidae. The record is from RefSeq and is a predicted model, not a curated record. The transcript is spliced from 3 exons.
UCAGUGACUGCAGCUGAAUUGGGCUUAGUGGAAUCCAGGCUUGCUCCCUAGCCAGCCUUCUAUAUCUCAUCACUGUGUCACAUCCCCUCCCCUCCACCUUGCCAGUCUCUGGGUUCCUGUUAUGCUGAGUUGGAGGAGCCGGGAGAGAGACUACCCUUCCAGCCAUCCUCAGCUCAUCCCGGGCACUGGGGGUGGAGAAGGAGCCCCAGACCAUGGAGCAGCUAGCUGUGUGAUUCUGAAUACAUCACUUGACCUCUCUGGGUCCCUCAUCUCCAACAUGAAGGAGGGAUAAGGGCCUCGCCUCACCCUGGAAUGCCAUUCUCCAUAGUGAGCUAGAAUUUGUCGCAUUCAUCCUCCUAUCCCCAGCACUAACAGAAGCUAUAGCACGUUGUGGAUGCUAAAAUAAAUAUUUUGAA